This 250-nucleotide ribosomal RNA is filed under the name uncultured bacterium. RNAcentral's name for it is "partial 16S ribosomal RNA". It matches the Rfam family "Bacterial small subunit ribosomal RNA", at positions 359 to 606 of the family's 1533-position model. The record is from RNAcentral.
GGAUGGGAUGGACGCAAGUCUGAUCCAGCAAUACCGCGUGUGUGAAGAAGGCCUUCGGGUUGUAAAGCACUUUUGUACGGGAAGAAAAGCUCCGGGUGAAUAUCCUGGGGUCAUGACGGUACCGUAAGAAUAAGCACCGGCUAACUUCGUGCCAGCAGCCGCGGUAAUACGAAGGGUGCAAGCGUUAAUCGGAAUUACUGGGCGUAAAGCGUGCGUAGGCGGUUCGUUAAGUCUGUCGUGAAAGCCCUGG